This 2863-nucleotide long non-coding RNA is filed under the name Scleropages formosus (Asian bonytongue). RNAcentral's name for it is "lncRNA (ENSSFOG00015030345.1)". Lineage: Eukaryota; Metazoa; Chordata; Actinopteri; Osteoglossiformes; Osteoglossidae. The record is from RNAcentral.
GAUUUUCAAGAACUACAUUAGUCUAUAGCAGCAGAAAGUCAGAGCCCCAGGAUGAUGAGAAAACUCUUCACUCUGCGUAAAAACAUAUUCCGCAGAGCCAGUGAGGAUGAACAGGAUAUGGAAAACCUUGCAAACUCUUCCGAGAGUAACUCUGGGAAGCUCGAGGACAAGGCAUCCACUCCCAAGGUCAGGGGUGUGUCAUUUACACCUUCGCACUUCUUGAAUGUUUCACCGGUUGUCCUUUCAUUGCUUCAGCAUCUAAAUGAUGAAUGACAAGAAGUCGGUUCACUACACUGUGCACAGACAUCGUAGGAUGGGUGUCAGAAGCAGCCACAAGAAUCAUCUUACCGGCACUUGCUCUUGUGCUGGAUGUCACCAUCACUGAGAGCAGUUCUUCCUCGCCUAUAUCAAGGUCAGAAUAACUCGUCUUGAAUACUGUUGUUGUAACCAGUUACUCCUUGUGUUACACAGAUGUCUUACUGUAAAGGUUUAGAUAUUUUAAGAAGUAGGCAGUUUUAUGUUAUAAGUUGAUUAAUUUUUGAUUAACAGUUUUUUCAGAAGGGGGGUGCGGUGGUGCAGUGGGUUGGACCGCAGUCCUGCUCUCCGGUGGGUCUGGGGUUCGAGUCCCGCUUGGGGUGCUUUGCGACGGACUGGCAUCCCGUCCUGGGUGUGUCCCCUCCCCCUCCGGCCCCACGCCCUGUGUUGCCGGGUAGGCUCUGCGACCCCGUAUGGGACAAGCGGUUCUGAAAAUGUGUGUGUGUGUGUUUUUUCAGAGCACUGGUAUAUUUCAAUACCAUACAACUGACCGUUAUAUUACUGUUUUCUGAAGCUUUUGGUUUAUAUCUGAAAUCCACACACAAUUCUGAAAGCACCUUAAAGUAGCGGCUAUAUUAUUGCUUCUCCUUUCUAAUGUCUUGGCUAUAGGGUCCUUCUGUAAGUUAAUGGUCAUUCAAUGAGGAAUGUAAUGAGUGUCAAUUUUAAUAGUAGAUUUGAAGAGUCUGAGAGCAUGAAGGAGCUUUCAGGUGAAGAGUCCUCCUUUGAUACAAAACAAGAUGAGAAAAAAUCCAGGACAAUUUCAAGUCGGGCUCCUUUGCUGAAUAUUGUUGGAGGUUUAGCUUCCCAAGAUAUCAGCACUUUGGAGUCAGAGGAUGCAGAGAAAUUAAGUCUUCCCUUUGUUGAAGAAAGAAGCUCUGCUGUGUCCCUGGAAGCUUCUUUUGAGAGUUCCACCCUGGCCGUUGACUUAUCUAACAGUUUGAUUGACAGUCAAGAACCUUGUCAACCACCUGCAAAAAGUCUACAAGAGAGCAGUAUUGAUAGCAGUGCUAAAAUAUCCACCAUCAGCUGUCCAGCUGGUAUCACUGACCAACUUUCCAGUAAGUGGUUCCACACAACAGCUGUGCAUGAAGGUGACAUAUCAUCUGACUUUGUUAGCAGUGAAAUCGCUCUGCCUCUUCUCAGAGAGGACGUACCUGGAGGAACAAGCUUUGUUUCCUUGAAAUCAGAUACAGAUGCAGACUCUACAGCAUCUGACAUUGUCACAAUUGUAUUGCAAGAUCUGCAGAGCUUAUCGGAGACCGUUCAGUCACUCGAUGAUUUUAGUACACCCAUUCUAUCAGAUAGUGCAACUCUGCCGGUCUCCAAGACUAGUAUUUUUGAAACUGUGCGUUGCAGGAUACGGGACUUUUUUAGUGACCUUCAUCCCUUAUCCCUCAGCAAACUGGCAAGACGUUCCAGUUCAAAGGAGUCUUGCGAUGAAAAAACCACAACAAGCAUUUUCAACGCAGAGGCAGAGACUCCAGUCUCAGGAGCUGAACGGACUGCUAGCAAUAUUGUAGACAUUGUCCUGCACUGGAUUAGUGAAGAUGUAGAGCAGAUUUCACCUGCUGCUCCCAGAAUGUGUAAAUCAGGUUCAGAUCUGAGGUUUGAUAUGCUGCUCUCUAAAGAAAACAUUCAAAUGUUGUCACCGCAGCUUGUUGGCAGAGUGCACCGCCUCAUAAUGGAGGACAACAGUGCCCUCCCUGUCAUUACAUUAGCAGCACGCAGAGUCAACUCUGAUUCGGCAGUUUCGAAGGGACGAGGUGGAAGGUUGGAGCUCGCCAGGGAAGCUUUCUCUGAGUUAGUUUACAUAUUCACGGAGAAAUGUGUGAGGAAGCUGUUGCAGGAAUGCCUCUACUGUCUUCCUCAUCCUCCUCACUCCGAUAAUUUUGAAGAUGUAGUUUGUACCACUCCUGUAACUUCCAGCAGUCUGGUGCAGGUCAUGCCAAGUCUACCAUUUCAGAGUGACAUUUCAGCCAUUCCCAGUGGACAAAGCCCCAAAAAAAUUUCAACAACGUCUGCAAGUUCAAGCACUCUCAUACAGGUUAUGCCAAGUCCAGCAUCUCAGAAUGAAUUUUCGAACCUCCACGUUGGACAAAGCACCCAGAAAGCCUCAAAGCCCUCCUUAGAACUCAGCAGUCCAAGCAUAGAAUCAUUAAUUACAGUUAUGGCCCAAGAAGUGAUGAAACUACUUCCAGAGAAGAUAGAUGACUGUAACCAAGUUUGGGAGUUCCUUGAGACUAAAGACAUCUGUGAGUCCACACCUCUUUCAUCAGCUGUAAAAUAUUCUGGUGUCAAUAACACAAAGGCCACAAACCACAGAUCUAGCAGUGGCUCUAAGGUUGAGGUGGACCCCAUAUCUGGGUCUGAGGCAGGACUGAAGAACGGGAAGAAAUUCUAAAAGCAGUGGAGUGAACGUGACCUAUGUUUCUUCAUCGAGCCAAUGGAAAGCAGUUAAACCACACCCAAUUAAAAAAAGUGUGGAACAACAGGUGUGUUGCUGCCAAGGAUAUGAAAAUAAGGAUAAUAAAGGAAGUUUAAAGUGCCA